CAAUAGCGUAUAUUAAAGUUGUUGCGGUUAAAAGCUCGUAGUUGGAUUUCUGCUGAGGACGACCGGUCCGCCCUCCGGGUGAGCAUCUGGUUCGGCCUUGGCAUCUUCUUGGUGAACGUAUCUGCACUUGACUGUGUGGUGCGGUACCCAGGACUUUUACUUUGAGGAAAUUAGAGUGUUCAAAGCAGGCUUAUGCCGUUGAAUAUAUUAGCAUGGAAUAAUGAGAUAGGACUUUUUUGCUAUUUUGUUGGUUUGCGCAAAGAGGUAAUGAUUAAUAGGGACAGUUGGGGGUAUUCGUAUUCCAUUGUCAGAGGUGAAAUUCUUGGAUUUUUGGAAGACGAACUACUGCGAAAGCAUUUACCAAGGAUGUUUUCAUUAAUCAAGAACGAAAGUUAGGGGAUCGAAGACGAUUAGAUACCAU
Molecule: ribosomal RNA, 421 nt
Filed under: uncultured eukaryote
Lineage: Eukaryota
Description: bacterial SSU rRNA
Rfam family: Eukaryotic small subunit ribosomal RNA
Source: RNAcentral